AUUUGUAAAUUUGUAAUAUAUGCAUAUAUAUAUGUAUUACGAUAAUCAAUACAAUAUACAAUUUAUAACUAAUAUUCGAAUGUUAAAUUGAAAUCACAAAACAUAAAUUGAAGAUGUGUUCUUGCGACAGUUGUGAAUGUAUGGACUACGUCUGCUGUACGCCCAGAGGAAAAGCCGUUUUUUUCUCACUUUGGACUAUUGUUAAUAGCGCAAUUGCCAUUGCUUUUUUGAGCUAUGCUGAUGGAAGCGCUUGGUAUAUGUACAUCUCUUAUGCCGUGACAGCUUUGCAUGUUUUGGGCGGUAUUCUGCUGCUGCUCGGCGUUCUAAGGCCCUUUAAAAAUAUAUUAUACUGUGAAUAGAGUAUUGCACAGUCGGCUAUACCAAAUUGCAACGUUCUUACUAGUUUCUUUUUAUCUAGCACUGGGCAAAGUGUUUUCUUACUGGCAUUAUUAUAAGCUCUUUUUUUCCAUACUGGUUCAUAUACUUUAUUUACUUAGCAGUCGUCCAAUUGAUCUUUACAAUUACCUCUUGCAGAUAUUAUAGCACUGUACUAAAGAAGAGUUCAGAUAACCAUUAAAUUAAACUCAUCGAGUAGAUUAAUUAAAUUGCGGAUAGUACAUUUUACAAAUUUUAAUGAUUUGGUGCAAGACCGUCAACUCAGAAACGUAGACAGCACAUUCAAUUAUUGGGCUCAAAUGCAUAUAUUCUCAAUUUAUGACCUGAGAGAUUGGACAUUGUGGGGCAAAGGAAAGAAGCAUAGCCAAUGCAUUACAUGCAGAUUAUAAUGAAUGAUGAUUAAGCCUCUAUAUGCAUAUCAGUAUUGCCUGGCCUUUAUUCGUUGCAAUACUUUGUGGCUGAUUGAUCGUUAAGAGUUGACUUUGGCUUUUGGAUCAUUUGGAUGAAUACGAUCUUCUAUUGCCCGAGAAAAUAACCACUAAGAUUGUUGAAAUUGACGACAUUUGGAACAUAAUCUGUGAGAACCAGGAGCAGCCUGCAUGAUCUUAAUGCUUUGCAGGUAGGCUUGAACCUGGUUGAUGCUGUUCCUGUCGAUAUGGCAGCAGAGCGUCAUUCUAAUAUCUAGCUCAUGAGGCGGAAUCUGUCUUUACCGGAGUCCAUCAUCCAGGCUUACCUUCAAGAACCUUCUGAAGCAUUUUGAAGAUUCUUUUAUGUACUCUUUCUAUAGCUAUCUUUUCAGUGUAAAUA
This 1203-nucleotide unclassified non-coding RNA is filed under the name Drosophila virilis. Its description in RNAcentral is "GJ27109". Lineage: Eukaryota; Metazoa; Arthropoda; Insecta; Diptera; Drosophilidae. The record is from RNAcentral.